AUCUUAGAUAUAUGCAUCGCCUUUGUAUUGACUUGGGCAAGAGUGACGUGUAUGGAUUCAUUGAUCCGUGUUUCAUUUAGAGUGAAUAUGAUUCUAUUGGGGCUCAAAAGUACAUACAAAAUAAGUUGCAACAGGAUCAAAAAGAGUGUUAUCUAUUACCUUAUCUCAACAAUUGUCAUUGGCAAUUGCUCGUUAUUUGUCCUAAGAAGAAUACUAUAGUCUUCCUAUGUUCGUUGGGAUGGAAACCAAAUAAAAAUGUCACGCACAUCGUCGAUUUAGCUUUGGGUGAAUAUAAUAAGUCGCGAAGAUUAAGAAAGAACAAGCCCACAUGGAGCAUUCCCAUUUGUCAAAGACAACCUAAAGGUUAUGAGUGUGGUUACUACAUUAUGAUACAUAUGUUGAACAUUGUAUCUAGUGGUCUUGUUGAUUCAUGGAUGCGGAUAUUUGGAGAAUCAAAACCAUUUGAAGAUGAAGAAAUGAUGAAUGUCCGAUAACGUUGUGCAAACUUGAUUCUUGAACUAAUAGAAAAUGUUUGAAGCAC
Non-coding RNA from Cicer arietinum (chickpea), 541 nucleotides. The record is from RefSeq and is a predicted model, not a curated record. Lineage: Eukaryota; Viridiplantae; Streptophyta; Magnoliopsida; Fabales; Fabaceae.